AAACUUUAAAAAGGUAUUUACCUAUAAUCCUUUGACUCGAGCCUGCAUCUUAUAGUUUGCCAGCGAUGAAGAAGAUCUUCUUUGCACGUGCUGCACGUGAACACCGUGUACUGCAGCCAUCUAAUUGGCGAUGAGGAUCUGCGGAGGGUAUUUUAACCAGGCCCACGUAUCCAUCACACAGCUGUGGACAAGAUGAUGGCACUUCAUUACCAGAGUGCUAACCAGGCAGUGAAGAUGAGCAAGUGCUGUGGAACAAAUAACUGUGGUGAGGUAA
This is a long non-coding RNA of Megalobrama amblycephala (Wuchang bream), 274 nucleotides long. RefSeq lists it as uncharacterized. The record is from RefSeq and is a predicted model, not a curated record. The transcript is spliced from 3 exons. Lineage: Eukaryota; Metazoa; Chordata; Actinopteri; Cypriniformes; Xenocyprididae.